GAAUGUUCUAGUAUGUAGGUCAAGAUGGUGAGAAAUGUUGAAAUCAUGGUGCUUGGGGAUGUUGGCAUGGCUGUCUGCUUCUCCAGAAAGGCUUACUGGAGCUUCAAGAGAAGAUCAAAUAGCACUCUUGUAGGUUGUCUUAGCAGCUUGAUAUCACCCAAAUAGGCAGAAUAACCAUGUGAUCUGAAGAUAGUCACUAGAUAUCUUUAUGCCAUCAAAAGAUCCCAGUGAAGCAAGACAUUCGACAGCAGCUCUGAUCCUUGCCUGCACUUACAAAGGCAUCUUCCCAAGGGUUUCCCUAAGUGGAAAUACUUUCUUACAAGGAAGUCCAAGAACAUCCAGACAUCAUGGAGCUUCCCGCAUGAGUGCCACUGUGAGCCACUGGAGGUCUGCAGUGCCAGAGCUGAGGGCCCUGGGAACCCAAGCAGCCUUUUCAGGGUCCCACGGAGGCCAUCAAACAGCACGGCCAUGGACCAGGGCCCAUGGAGGCCCAGGAUGGAGAUGGCUCAGAUGUUCUAGCUCUUUGGUUUCAAGAACACUGACUGACUGCUGCUCCCUGUUGAGAGCUCAGCAUGUCAAGCCUGGCUGCACAGAAGAAUCCCUGAAGAAGGUUAAAAUGAGCAUAUUGGGCUUCACUCAGAGAAAUCUAAUUUAAGAGGGUUUGCAUAGGUCUUGAAGGCAACUGUUUCAAAGCUUUGAAGGUGGGAACCACUAUUGCAGACCUAAUCUCUGCCAUAGGCUAUAUCAUUGUCACAGACUAGAUCUCAGCUACACAUGGAUCACUACUUCAGGCUGCAACAUUGUCACAGACUAGGUUACAUCCUCAGAUUAUGUUACUGCCUCUGACCACAUCACUGUGUGUAUCAGUCCACUUUGCACUACCAUAACACAGUACCUGAGGCAAGCUAUUUCACAAAGAAAAUAAUUUUCUUUUUUAGCUCACAGUCUUGAAGGCUAAAAGUCAAAAAGACCAGGCAGCCCCAUUGGUUUGGCACCUGGUGGAUGACAUCAUGGUGAGUGUUUGCAAGAGGGAGAGAUCACACUGGAAACCGGAGAAGUGGCUCAGAGGCCAGACUAGGUCUUCUAACAACCCAGUUUCUCAAACACUAACUCAGAGACCCAGGAGAACUACUUUAAUCUCCCUUGAGAGAAGCAUUCCCAGUGACUGAUCCCCCCUUACACCUCAAAAUUGGCAAGAGUUAGGACAAGCUCCCAACACACGAAUCCUUGGGGAACAAAUUCAAAUCAUAUCCAAGCCACAGCUUGUCUCAGACUUAAUUACCUCCUGAGUCUGGAUCCCUGCCUCACACUAGGUCACCACCUUCAGACUAGUCAGCACCCGAGACUGGAUCACUACCCUAGAAGUUUCAGUGCUUUUCAACCGGCACUUCAUUCGAAUUACUCUGAAGGCCACUGGGUUGGGAAGAAGCAGCGGAAGAGUUCAGCGCAUAGCCCCUUCCAGCUUGGAAAGGGUGUGCAUAGUGUACCAUGCACAGCACCAAGUUCCUGUACAAACAGAACCCCACUGUUACGAGUCGGUCUGAUAUGCGGUGCAGAGUCGGGCAGAAGAGAGCUUAGUGUCUCAGGAAAUUGCUGGACUUUUCAAAAGGUCAGCAUGCAGAGUUUUAGCACCAAAGUUAAGGCCUGAAGGAAAUCAGGUCAUUGUCUCCGCC
Chinchilla lanigera (long-tailed chinchilla) is the source of this 1673-nucleotide long non-coding RNA. RefSeq lists it as uncharacterized. NCBI's taxonomy places the organism in Eukaryota, Metazoa, Chordata, Mammalia, Rodentia, Chinchillidae. The record is from RefSeq and is a predicted model, not a curated record. The transcript is spliced from 5 exons.